RNAcentral lists this small nucleolar RNA (106 nucleotides) under Gossypium hirsutum (cotton). RNAcentral describes it as "Plant small nucleolar RNA R71". It matches the Rfam family "Plant small nucleolar RNA R71". From Rfam's summary of the family: R71 is a member of the C/D box family of snoRNAs containing the C (UGAUGA) and D (CUGA) box motifs. Multiple nearly identical copies of this snoRNA have been identified in Arabidopsis, and it is thought to function as a 2'-O-ribose methylation guide for 18S ribosomal RNA. The record is from Rfam by way of RNAcentral. Lineage: Eukaryota; Viridiplantae; Streptophyta; Magnoliopsida; Malvales; Malvaceae.
AACCCAUGGUGAGGGAACCUUCUCAAAAGGUCUUUGAAUCUCUCUCAUGCAUUGUAGAGUGUUUCUAAAUCCAUCUGCAUAAAAGAAGAGAUAUCACUAUGUAAUU